This 338-nucleotide unclassified non-coding RNA is filed under the name soil metagenome. Its description in RNAcentral is "partial contains 5.8S ribosomal RNA, internal transcribed spacer 2, and large subunit ribosomal RNA". The stretch from base 1 to 120 matches the Rfam family "5.8S ribosomal RNA", at positions 35 to 154 of the family's 154-position model. The record is from RNAcentral.
GAUGAAGAACGUAGUGAAAUGCGAUAAGUAAUGUGAAUUGCAGAAUUCCGUGAAUCAUCGAAUCUUUGAACGCACAUUGCGCCCCCUGGUAUUCCGGGGGGCAUGCCUGUCCGAGCGUCAUUGCAACCCUCAAGCGCGGCUUGUGUGUUGGGCUUCGUCCCCCCGUGGACGUGCCCGAAAGGCAGUGGCGGCGUCCCGAAUGGUGCCCGAGCGUAUGGGAACUCUCUUCCGCUCGAACCGGCCCAUUCGGCGCUGGUCGAACCCCAAUUUUUUUUACCGGUUGACCUCGGAUCAGGUAGGGAUACCCGCUGAACUUAAGCAUAUCAAUAAGCGGAGGA